CCCCGGUAAACGGCGGCCGUAACUAUAACGGUCCUAAGGUAGCGAAAUUCCUUGUCGGGUAAGUUCCGACCUGCACGAAUGGCGUAAUGAUGGCCAGGCUGUCUCCACCCGAGACUCAGUGAAAUUGAACUCGCUGUGAAGAUGCAGUGUACCCGCGGCAAGACGGAAAGACCCCGUGAACCUUUACUAUAGCUUGACACUGAACAUUGAGCCUUGAUGUGUAGGAUAGGUGGGAGGCUUUGAAGUGUGGACGCCAGUCUGCAUGGAGCCGACCUUGAAAUACCACCCUUUAAUGUUUGAUGUUCUAACGUGGACCCGUAAUCCGGGUUGCGGACAGUGUCUGGUGGGUAGUUUGACUGGGGCGGUCUCCUCCUAAAGAGUAACGGAGGAGCACGAAGGUUGGCUAAUCCUGGUCGGACAUCAGGAGGUUAGUGCAAUGGCAUAAGCCAGCUUGACUGCGAGCGUGACGGCGCGAGCAGGUGCGAAAGCAGGUCAUAGUGAU
This 502-nucleotide ribosomal RNA is filed under the name Salmonella enterica. RNAcentral describes it as "partial 23S ribosomal RNA". It matches the Rfam family "Bacterial large subunit ribosomal RNA", at positions 1918 to 2419 of the family's 2925-position model. The record is from RNAcentral. Lineage: Bacteria; Pseudomonadati; Pseudomonadota; Gammaproteobacteria; Enterobacterales; Enterobacteriaceae.